GGAGCCGCGGGCAGGGGCGCGCCGCACCCGCCGGCCCCGCGACGGGAUCUCCACGCCGAGAGGAUGUCGGCAGCCCCGGCGACCUGCGAGACGGGGCUGGAUCCGCCCGCCAGCCUGAUCUUUGGACCCAAAGGAGAAUAAAAAGAUGCUCUUGCGACUGCUGCCCCUGACAUUUGUACGGAUCAUCACUCGAAGGUUUUCUGAGCCCAGUGGAUUUACAGUGGCAUUCAGCUGCCUGGGGAGUGACGCUGCCAGACUCGCGUCCUGGAAUUAGCUACUGGUGCUCUUCAGGAUGCAGGUCUCUGCAGGAAGGCGGGCACAGUGCCCACGGAGCCUCUCAGCCUGGACGCCCCCGAAGCGCCUGACCACAGCUGCCCACGGGGGCUGAGCUUUCCACCUUUGUCUUGUGAGGCCUCUGCCAGCUCCCUUGGGACCCUCUGAAACAAUCCUGUCACACCUGGGAUUGAGGUGCUUGUAACCUGAAGAUGCAGCAUAUCCACUCAGCCCUGCAGAGGAACUCCACGGCUUUUUUCCUUGAGCUUGGGAAUACGUGGGCAUUUGGAGAAUCGAGGAGACCUUGCUCGGGAGGCAAAGGCAGCAGUCAUAUUGGCUUAGAGAGAAUUGAAUGCUUUUUCCAAAGUGCUUAGAAGACGCAGCAACUGGAAAGCAGAGCUUAGAAAAUUGCCACGGCCCGAGGGAGGAAUGCGCACUCCCUCCUUCCCAGCCGGCUCCUAGUGCACGGAGCACCUCUCACCACUGGUUUGGUCACUGCUGAGCUAUCUUCAUUUAAUGUGGUUUUGACAAAAUAGUUGGUCUGGAAAUUUUAUUUUCAAUUAAACUUAUUGUUGAGCUGUCUCGGUUUUGAAAGGGUUCCAUUAGGGUGGCUAAUUAUAUAUCAGUUACUACAAGGAGAUAUUUGCACUCAAUUUCAGCUCUUAGGUAAUUCUAAUCAAAUGCUUUCUUUAUAAUUUUUCCUCCCUGGAGCUGUGCACAACCAUCUUCCCCUCACAAUGCAAAGCUUCCCGUGAGUGAGUUAUUUUUAGAAAGCCAAAUCAAAACAGCAAUUGUGGCGGAGGCCAUUUAUAGCCUAGCAGAGUAAAGCAUAUGCACUGAUAAAAGCAGCCAAACCACCUCCCUGGUGGUGCAGUCUGAUGUCCAGGCACUGCAGGCUGACCUUUAUACUAAAACAUUCCUUUGACGUCAAAGGCAGCAGACCUGCCUUUAAACUGACAAAGGAUUUGGGCCUUGGCAGACAGUUGCCAAGGUCCCUGCGUUUCACAGCGGCAGCUCUGGUCUGGCCGCUGGGGCUCUGGUGGAGGACGGAGGGCAUGUCCUGGGUUUUCCUCCUCUGCUCCAUUUUCCUCUUUGAGUGGCACACAUUAGCUCCCCUCCUUGUGCCGUCGCCCCGCAAUCAGAGUGUAAGGUGGGGGAUUGGGCUGUACUUUUCACCCUGUGGGGUGCCUGUGAGUAGUAGGUGCUCAAGUACAGUCAUUCAUUAAAAUGCUACUUGCUUUCUCAUUUAAAUGUUAGUCUUUCAUUACAUAGAUACUAAGUGAGUGUAUUUGUCUUAGGGCAAAACAUCCCUUUCCAAAUAUGGCUGAGAGUCACAUCACUCAACUCCACCUGAGUCCUUUGAAGGUCUAGAAACCAGGAGAAUGUUCUGGUCCUCCAACUCGCCAUCUUCAGGCCGUUGGCUCAUCAUGAGCUCGCAUCAGCCAACCUUUUGGAACACAUCUUUGCAGACCUUCCAGAGGCACUUGUGCCCAUGUAUGAGCACAUGCAUACAUGUGCGCACACACACACACACGCACACACACACAGUCAACUUCUAAGCCUGCAAUAGAGUAUUGCAAAGCUUAUCUAGUUUCUCUCCACAGUCUGUCAAGGGGUGCCAUAUACAUAGGCAACCUGUUUCCUCUGAACCCUUUGAUUUGAGCCAAAUAAGUUCUUUGACCUACUUUCCUCAUUAGACCUCUAGAUCCAUUCUCACGUGCAGGCUGACCAACUAGCCUUGUCCACUGCUAUCUAGGUAACUAUAUAACAUUCUCUUAAAAUCAGCUCCUGCCUGGGAGGUUAUACCACACCAGUAGACUGAAGUUUGUGAGAUUUUAUGGGUUGCUGAUAGGACCGAAAUUUCUUUGUCUUCAACCUGGAGAGUAUCACUGUGCCCUGGGAGUUCCCCAGUAGUGGAGAGGGAGGCUGUGGGGUCCAACUGGGCUCUGCUUGCAGCCCUAAAGUGCUCCUGCAUGGGUCUUCCACUUCCUGGACCUUAUCUUUCCAUUUGUACUGUGGACUCAGGGAACCUCCAAGAGUGCCCUGCAGUGUGUGUUCAGCUCUGUCUGUUGUGUGUGUGCUGGAGAAAAAGCCAGCUCCCAUCUGAGCUUCUCCUAAGCCUGCGUCACGAGGAACCUGGGAGGGUUGCUCCUGGACUGUACUUUUCCUUCCUGU
Molecule: long non-coding RNA, 2448 nt
Organism: Octodon degus (degu)
Lineage: Eukaryota; Metazoa; Chordata; Mammalia; Rodentia; Octodontidae
Exons: 4
Source: RefSeq, a predicted model, not a curated record